This is a long non-coding RNA of Gavialis gangeticus (Gharial), 263 nucleotides long. RefSeq lists it as uncharacterized. NCBI's taxonomy places the organism in Eukaryota, Metazoa, Chordata, Crocodylia, Gavialidae. The record is from RefSeq and is a predicted model, not a curated record. The transcript is spliced from 3 exons.
CUCACUGAAAGGAGAUGUUUCUCUUUCUGUUGAGGUAACUACUGUACUGAAAAAUCCCAGUGGAGGCAAAGAACCACAGGAAGACAAAGCCCCAAGGUGAAUAACCUCUGCAUCUCCAGGAGAUUCACCUUAGACAAGAGAAAGCAUGAGUUGAGCAUUUUUCCAAAGCCACAAAAUGCUAGUUAAUGGAAUGGGAGUGACUUCUGGACCCACCCCUUUCUUAUUUUUAACAUACUGUUAACUGGGCAAACAAACAGAUUUGC